GAAAUGCGAUAAGUAAUGUGAAUUGCAGAAUUCCGUGAAUCAUUAAAUCUUUGAACGCACAUUGCACUCUUUGGUAUUCCGAAGAGUAUGUUUGUUUGAGAAUCAGUAAAUCAUCAAAAUCUAAAUUUUUUUUUUAAAAAAAGGAUUUAUUUUUUUGGAUUUGAGACUUUUCUAAAUUUUUUAAUUAAAAUUUUGGAAUGACUUGUAAAUUAUUUGUUGACUUUAUUGACAACCAAAAAGCAUGACCAAUAGGACUUUUUUAAGUUCUUUGAUUGUUUUUAAUGGAAGUUAAAUUAAAAGAGUAACAUAAAAAAAAUUAUAACACAAAAAAAAUUUUUUAAUUUUUUUUAAGACUAGAUCUCAAAUCAAAUAAGACUACCCGCUGAACUUAA
RNAcentral lists this unclassified non-coding RNA (392 nucleotides) under uncultured Chytridiomycota. RNAcentral's name for it is "sequence contains ITS1". The stretch from base 1 to 105 matches the Rfam family "5.8S ribosomal RNA", at positions 50 to 154 of the family's 154-position model. Lineage: Eukaryota; Fungi; Chytridiomycota. The record is from RNAcentral.